GGCAGCAGUAGAGAAUCUUGUGCAAUGCACGAAAGUAUGACACAGAGAGGACACAUUUAAUUGAGCCCGUCAAAUUAAGUGCCAGCCGACGCGGUUAAACUUAAGGGCUGGUCUUUAUAAGUAAAAAGGCGUAAAGGAUGUGUAGGCCAAGAAAUUAUUCAAGAAGGUAAAUGGAAUUUUUCUGGAGCGGUAGAAUGUGAGGAUAGAAAAUAGAACACCUAAGGUUAAAACUAUUUACCACAAAAUAGGCUGAAACAUGAGAGUGUGGGGAGCAAACAGGAUUAGAGACCCUGGUAGUCCACUCUGUGAACUUUGAAGAUUAUGCUUAGCAGACCCGAAAGGUAAAAUCUUCCGCCUGAGUAGUACGAUCGCAAGAUUAAAAUUCAAAAACUUUGGCUGUUCACUAUUUCGAUUAGAGGAGCGUGUAGUUUAAUUCGAUGGUCCGCGUGUUACCUUACCCCAGCUUGAAUCUAUGACCGGUAUUGCAUGGCCGUCGUAAGUCCGUGUGUUAAACUAGAAGGGACCCAAUCCGGGCAUUUGCCCGAAGGAAGUCAGGUCUUAUGAUCCGAAUGUUGGGGGAUUUUAUGCGCUACAUUUUCUUAUAUAAUGAGAGACUUGAAAGGUAAGCCUCUAAAGUAAGAGUUCGGAAGGUCGCUGUAAAACGACUGGAAGUUGGAUUUAAUAGUAAUCGGAAAGUAGGGCGUUCCGGUGAAUUGGUACAAGUGUUAGCACAAAUUGCCCGUCACCUUUACCUAGAAUGGUUAUUCGGACGCCUUAGGGGUUACGA
This 787-nucleotide ribosomal RNA is filed under the name Carcinactis dolosa. RNAcentral describes it as "partial small subunit ribosomal RNA". It matches the Rfam family "Bacterial small subunit ribosomal RNA", at positions 347 to 1441 of the family's 1533-position model. The record is from RNAcentral. Lineage: Eukaryota; Metazoa; Cnidaria; Anthozoa; Actiniaria; Sagartiidae.